UCCGCGCUGCAUUAGCUAGUUGGUAAGGUAACGGCUUACCAAGGCAACGAUGCAUAGCCGACCUGAGAGGGUGAUCGGCCACACUGGAACUGAGACACGGUCCAGACUCCUACGGGAGGCAGCAGUAGGGAAUCUUCCGCAAUGGGCGAAAGCCUGACGGAGCAACGCCGCGUGAGUGAUGAAGGUCUUCGGAUCGUAAAACUCUGUUAUUAGGGAAGAACAUAUGUGUAAGUAACUGUGCACAUCUUGACGGUACCUAAUCAGAAAGCCACGGCUAACUACGUGCCAGCAGCCGCGGUAAUACGUAGGUGGCAAGCGUUAUCCGGAAUUAUUGGGCGUAAAGCGCGCGUAGGCGGUUUUUUAAGUCUGAUGUGAAAGCCCACGGCUCAACCGUGGAGGGUCAUUGGAAACUGGAAAACUUGAGUGCAGAAGAGGAAAGUGGAAUUCCAUGUGUAGCGGUGAAAUGCGCAGAGAUAUGGAGGAACACCAGUGGCGAAGGCGACUUUCUGGUCUGUAA
This 517-nucleotide ribosomal RNA is filed under the name Staphylococcus aureus. RNAcentral's name for it is "bacterial SSU rRNA". It matches the Rfam family "Bacterial small subunit ribosomal RNA", at positions 230 to 739 of the family's 1533-position model. Lineage: Bacteria; Bacillati; Bacillota; Bacilli; Caryophanales; Staphylococcaceae. The record is from RNAcentral.